GACGAACGCUGGCGGCGUGCUUAACACAUGCAAGUCGAACGGAAAGGCCCUGCUUUUGUGGGGUGCUCGAGUGGCGAACGGGUGAGUAACACGUGAGUAACCUGCCCUUGACUUUGGGAUAACUUCAGGAAACUGGGGCUAAUACCGGAUAGGAGCUCCUGCUGCAUGGUGGGGGUUGGAAAGUUUCGGCGGUUGGGGAUGGACUCGCGGCUUAUCAGCUUGUUGGUGGGGUAGUGGCUUACCAAGGCUUUGACGGGUAGCCGGCCUGAGAGGGUGACCGGCCACAUUGGACCUGGGAUACGGCCCGGCUUCUUCGGGGGGCAAGAGGGGGGAAAUAUUGCACAUUGGGCGGAGGCCUGAUGCGGAACGGCGGGGGGGGGGAUAACGGCCUUCGGGUUGUAACCCGCUUUCGCCUGUACCGAGGCGUAGGUGACGGAAAGGGGAAAGAAGCACCGGCUAACUACGUG
RNAcentral lists this ribosomal RNA (467 nucleotides) under uncultured bacterium. Its description in RNAcentral is "partial 16S ribosomal RNA". It matches the Rfam family "Bacterial small subunit ribosomal RNA", at positions 28 to 507 of the family's 1533-position model. The record is from RNAcentral.